Molecule: ribosomal RNA, 406 nt
Filed under: uncultured bacterium
Lineage: Bacteria
Description: partial 16S ribosomal RNA
Rfam family: Bacterial small subunit ribosomal RNA
Source: RNAcentral
AUUGACCGCUGGCGGCAGGCCUAACACAUGCAAGUCGAACGACUGGCGGACGGGUGAGUAAUGUCUGGGACACUGCCCGAUGUGGGGGGAAAACUACUGGAAACGGUAGCUAAUACCGCAUACAAUCGGUUGUGCCCAGAUGGGAUUAGCUAGGAGGUGGGGUAACGGCUCACCUAGGCGACGAUCCCUAGCUGGUCUGCGAGGAUGACCAGCCACACUGGGACUGAGACACGGUCCAGACUCCUACGGGAGGCAGCAGUGGGGAAUAUUGCACAAUGGGCGCAAGCCUGAUGCAGCCAUGCCGCGUGUAUGAAGAAGGCCUUCGGGUUGUAAAGUACUUUCAGCGGGGAGGCGUUACUCGCAGAAGAAGCACCGGCUAACUCCGUGCCAGCAGCCGCGGUAAUAC